This 440-nucleotide ribosomal RNA is filed under the name uncultured bacterium. RNAcentral's name for it is "partial 16S ribosomal RNA". It matches the Rfam family "Bacterial small subunit ribosomal RNA", at positions 338 to 795 of the family's 1533-position model. The record is from RNAcentral.
CCUACGGGUGGCAGCAGUGGGGAAUAUUGCACAAUGGGGGAAACCCUUAUGCAGCGACGCCGCGUGAGGGAAGAAGGUUUUCGGAUUGUAAACCUCUGUCAGUAGGGACGAUAAUGACGGUACCUACCGAAGAAGCCCCGGCUAACUACGUGCCAGCAGCCGCGGUAAUACGUAGGUGGCAAGCGUUGUCCGGAAUGACUGGGUGUAAAGGGAGCGUAGGCGGGAUGGCAAGUCAGAAGUGAAAUCCCGGGGCUCAACCCCGAAACUGCUUUGGAAACUGUUAUUCUUGAGUAUAGGAGAGGCAGGCGGAAUUCCUGGUGUAGCGGUGAAAUGCGUAGAGAUCAGGAGGAACACCAGUGGCGAAGGCGGCCUGCUGGACUUUAACUGACGCUGAGGCUCGAAAGCGUGGGGAGCAAACAGGAUUAGAUACCCUGGUAGUC